UACGAAGGGUGCUAGCGUUGUUCGGAAUCACUGGGCGUAAAGCGCGCGUAGGCGGCUUUCCAAGUCAGGGGUGAAAUCCUUGGGCUCAACCCAAGAAUUGCCUUUGAAACUGGGAGGCUGGAGUAUUGGAGGGGAUAGCGGAAUUCCUAAUGUAGAGGUGAAAUUCGUAGAUAUUAGGAGGAACACCGGUGGCGAAGGCGGCUAUCUGGCCAAUAACUGACGCUGAGGCGCGAAAGCACGGGGAUCAAACAGG
Molecule: ribosomal RNA, 253 nt
Filed under: uncultured bacterium
Lineage: Bacteria
Description: partial 16S ribosomal RNA
Rfam family: Bacterial small subunit ribosomal RNA
Source: RNAcentral